RNAcentral lists this ribosomal RNA (468 nucleotides) under uncultured bacterium. RNAcentral describes it as "partial 16S ribosomal RNA". It matches the Rfam family "Bacterial small subunit ribosomal RNA", at positions 28 to 507 of the family's 1533-position model. The record is from RNAcentral.
GACGAACGCUGGCGGCGUGCUUAACACAUGCAAGUCGAACGGAAAGGCCCUGCUUUUGUGGGGUGCUCGAGUGGCGAACGGGUGAGUAACACGUGAGUAACCUGCCCUUGACUUUGGGAUAACUUCAGGAAACUGGGGCGAAUACCGGAUAGGAGCUCCUGCUGCAUGGUGGGGGUUGGAAAGUGUCGGCGGUUGGGGAUGGACUCGCGGCUUAUCAGCUUGUUGGUGGGGUAGUGGCUUACCAAGGCUUUGACGGGUAGCCGGCCUGAGAGGGUGACCGGCCACCUUGGGACUGCGAUACGGCCCAGACUCCUACGGGAGGCAGCAGUGGGGAAUAUUGCACAAUGGGCGGAAGCCUGAUGCAGAAACGCCGCGUGCGGGAUGACGGCCUUCGGGUUGUAAACCGCUUUCGCCUGUGACGAAGCGUGAGUGACGGUAAUGGGUAAAGAAGCACCGGCUAACUACGUG